AUGUCUGAUGUUGGUAGCAGCCUUGGUAGCGCAGCCGGUGGUGGAGAAGAUGGCAGGGCAAUCUCUGAUGGGUCUGAAGUUCAGAUAGAGGACCAGCAACCAGUCCCCCCACCUAUGCCAACAUCUCGGAUCUCUGUGAAACAUGCAGUUGAAGUCAUUCAGACGUUUGAUGAGUACAAGAGGUGGUUGGUACAAGAAAUCGGGUUUGGUGGAAUGUUGAAGUUGCCCAUGCGGCAGAAGCUUAAUCUCAAAUUCAGUGCAUGGACAAUGAGCAAGGUUAGUGUAUCUCAGUGCGCAAUUAUAUUAAUCUCAAAGAAGCUGAAGUUCUGGCCGGAGGAUGUGCACAAAGUAUUUGGGAUACUUUGCGGUCACCGCUCUAUCCGGGGGCGUGAUGGUCACAUAACGCCUGAUGCAAUUCAAUUCUUCAAGAAGACUCUCGGGAUGGACAAAAAAGGUGUUCAUAGCCUGCGAGCCGCGGAGGAGUUCCUACUACGAGAUGUAUCAGAGACAUCUAGCAAGCUUGAGAAGGAUUGUUUUCAAAUUGCUUUCGUCAUUUUUGUCAUGGGACACGUGCUUGCGCCAACCACAAAGCAUGAUUAUGCCACCAUUGAUUUUUGGGGUGCCCUUGCAAACACCGAAACAAUAUCACAGUUCAAUUGGUGUGAGUACGUGCUUCAGUGCUUGCUAGAAGUUGUUAGACGUCUCAAGAAGGACAUGCUUUCAAACAAUCCAGGCACUAACCUUGUUGGUUGUCACCUUUUUCUUCAGGUGUUCUUCCUGCACAGUAUUGACUUAGGCAUUUUCAAUAAGAAGCAUAAUGUGCUCCCCGUAUAA
Molecule: ribosomal RNA, 834 nt
Filed under: Triticum aestivum (bread wheat)
Lineage: Eukaryota; Viridiplantae; Streptophyta; Magnoliopsida; Poales; Poaceae
Description: partial small subunit ribosomal RNA
Source: RNAcentral